This 1003-nucleotide ribosomal RNA is filed under the name uncultured Lysobacterales bacterium. RNAcentral's name for it is "bacterial SSU rRNA". It matches the Rfam family "Bacterial small subunit ribosomal RNA", at positions 9 to 1000 of the family's 1533-position model. Lineage: Bacteria; Pseudomonadati; Pseudomonadota; Gammaproteobacteria; Lysobacterales. The record is from RNAcentral.
GAGUUUGAUCGUGGCUCAGAGUGAACGCUGGCGGUAGGCCUAACACAUGCAAGUCGAACGGUAACAGGUCUUUCGGGAUGCUGACGAGUGGCGGACGGGUGAGGAAUACAUCGGAAUCUGCUCAGUCGUGGGGGAUAACGCAUGGAAACGUGCGCUAAUACCGCAUACGACCUUCGGGUGAAAGCAGGGGAAUCUUUAGGGAUCCUUGCGCGAUUGAAUGAGCCGAUGUCGGAUUAGCUAGUUGGUAGGGUAAAAGCCUACCAAGGCGACGAUCCGUAGCUGGUCUGAGAGGAUGAUCAGCCACACUGGGACUGAGACACGGCCCAGACUCCUGCGGGAGGCAGCAGUGGGGAAUAUUGGACAAUGGGGGCAACCCUGAUCCAGCCAUACCGCGUGGGUGAAGAAGGCCUUCUGGGUUAUAAAGCCCUUUUGUUGGGGAAGAAAAACAACGGGUUAAUACCCCGUUGGUAUGACGGUACCCAAAGAAUAAGCACCGGCUAACUUCGUGCCAGCAGCCGCGGUAAUACGAAGGGUGCAAGCGUUACUCGGAAUUACUGGGCGUAAAGGGUGCGUAGGUGGUUGCGCCAGUCUGUCGUGAAAGCCCUGGGCUUAACCUGGGAAUGGCGAUGGAAACUGUGCAACUAGAGUGUGACAGAGGGUGGUGGAAUUCCUGGUGUAGCAGUGAAAUGCGUAGAGAUCAGGAGGAACAUUCGUGGCGAAGGCGGCCACCUGGGUCAACACUGACACUGAGGCACGAAAGCGUGGGGAGCAAACAGGAUUAGAUACCCUGGUAGUCCACGCCCUAAACGAUGCGAACUGGAUGUUGGGUCCAACUUGGGAUUCAGUAUCGAAGCUAACGCGUUAAGUUCGCCGCCUGGGGAGUACGGUCGCAAGACUGAAACUCAAAGGAAUUGACGGGGGCCCGCACAAGCGGUGGAGUAUGUGGUUUAAUUCGAUGCAACGCGCAGAACNCUUACCUGGCCUUGACAUGCACGGAACCUUU